GAUGAAGAACGCAGCGAAAUGCGAUAAGUAGUGUGAGUUGCAGAAUUCAGUGAAUCAUCGAAUCUUUGAACGCACAUUGCGCCCCUUGGUAUUCCAUGGGGCAUGCCUGUUCGAGCGUCAUUUGUACCUUCAAGCUCUGCUUGGUGUUGGGUGUUUGUCUCGCCUCUGCGUGUAGACUCGCCUCAAAAUAAUUGGCAGCCGGCGUAUUGAUUUCGGAGCGCAGUACAUCUCGCGCUUUGCACUCAUAACGACGACGUCCAAAAGUACAUUUUUACACUCUUGACCUCGGAUCAGGUAGGGAUACCCGCUGAACUUAAGCAUAUCAAUAAGCGGAGGA
Molecule: unclassified non-coding RNA, 337 nt
Filed under: soil metagenome
Description: partial contains 5.8S ribosomal RNA, internal transcribed spacer 2, and large subunit ribosomal RNA
Rfam family: 5.8S ribosomal RNA (bases 1-120)
Source: RNAcentral